CAGGGGUUAAAAACCCAGAUCACAGUAAAGUACCGUGACCCGUAUUCUGAUAAAGCGGGUGAAGGGUAAUAUUGGGGUUUAUAGUAAAAUGGGUUUCAUUUUAUUAAUACAAUUCAAUCACUUGCAGCACACGUAAGUAACUCUCCGAUCGGUUUUCUCCACUUCAUACCUAGGUAGAUCAACAGUAAUGAGACUGAUGUGACUGGUUGUCACAGCGAUCGCUGAGACCGCACCGUUACUGUUGCAGAUCUGCCUAUAACAUCAAAGCACUCAGCAAUAGCUUUAACCCCAUGAUUGGUGCAAUUGGGGCAUUUUGGCCAUAAUUUUAGUACAGGACGGAAUUGUUCUGUCAUGGGUGGUCUUGGCACAGACUGCCAUGACGGAAUCAUUUUGUCAUUGGUCCUAACGGGGUUAACCUCUCACAUAUUCUGC
Pelobates cultripes (western spadefoot toad) is the source of this 432-nucleotide non-coding RNA. NCBI's taxonomy places the organism in Eukaryota, Metazoa, Chordata, Amphibia, Anura, Pelobatidae. The record is from the annotation of a GenBank genome assembly.